This 501-nucleotide ribosomal RNA is filed under the name uncultured bacterium. RNAcentral describes it as "partial 16S ribosomal RNA". It matches the Rfam family "Bacterial small subunit ribosomal RNA", at positions 899 to 1397 of the family's 1533-position model. The record is from RNAcentral.
ACUCAAAGGAAUUGACGGGGGCCCGCACAAGCGGUGGAGCAUGUGGUUUAAUUCGAUGCAACGCGAAAAACCUUACCUACCCUUGACAUGGUUGGAAUUUUUCAGAGAUGAGAAAGUGCCCGCGAGGGAGCCAAUACACAGGUGCUGCAUGGCUGUCGUCAGCUCGUGUCGUGAGAUGUUGGGUUAAGUCCCGUAACGAGCGCAACCCCUAUUCUUAGUUGCCAGCAAGUAAAGUUGGGCACUCUAAGGAGACUGCCGGUGAUAAACCGGAGGAAGGUGGGGAUGAUGUCAAGUCAUCAUGGCCCUUAUGGGUAGGGCUACACACGUGCUACAAUGGCCGGUACAAUGGGAAGCGAAAUCGCGAGAUGGAGCGAAUCCUGAUAAGCCGGUCGUAGUCCAGAUUGGAGUCUGCAACUCGACUCCAUGAAGUCGGAAUCGCUAGUAAUCGUGGAUCAGCAUGCCACGGUGAAUACGUUCCCGGGCCUUGUACACACCGCCCGU